RNAcentral lists this ribosomal RNA (921 nucleotides) under uncultured bacterium. Its description in RNAcentral is "bacterial SSU rRNA". It matches the Rfam family "Bacterial small subunit ribosomal RNA", at positions 12 to 923 of the family's 1533-position model. The record is from RNAcentral.
UUUGAUCCUGGCUCAGGAUGAACGCUAGCUACAGGCUUAACACAUGCAAGUCGAGGGAAAACGACAUCGAAAGCUUGCUUUUGAUGGGCGUCGACCGGCGCACGGGUGAGUAACGCGUAUCCAACCUGCCCACCACUUGGGGAUAACCUUGCGAAAGUAAGACUAAUACCCAAUGAUAUCUCUAGAAGACAUCUGAAAGAGAUUAAAGAUUUAUCGGUGAUGGAUGGGGAUGCGUCUGAUUAGCUUGUUGGCGGGGUAACGGCCCACCAAGGCAACGAUCAGUAGGGGUUCUGAGAGGAAGGUCCCCCACAUUGGAACUGAGACACGGUCCAAACUCCUACGGGAGGCAGCAGUGAGGAAUAUUGGUCAAUGGACGAGAGUCUGAACCAGCCAAGUAGCGUGCAGGAUGACGGCCCUAUGGGUUGUAAACUGCUUUUAUAAGGGAAUAAAGUGAGUCUCGUGAGACUUUUUGCAUGUACCUUAUGAAUAAGGACCGGCUAAUUCCGUGCCAGCAGCCGCGGUAAUACGGAAGGUCCGGGCGUUAUCCGGAUUUAUUGGGUUUAAAGGGAGCGUAGGCCGGAGAUUAAGCGUGUUGUGAAAUGUAGACGCUCAACGUCUGCACUGCAGCGCGAACUGGUUUCCUUGAGUACGCACAAAGUGGGCGGAAUUCGUGGUGUAGCGGUGAAAUGCUUAGAUAUCACGAAGAACUCCGAUUGCGAAGGCAGCUCACUGGAGCGCAACUGACGCUGAAGCUCGAAAGUGCGGGUAUCGAACAGGAUUAGAUACCCUGGUAGUCCGCACGGUAAACGAUGGAUGCCCGCUGUUGGUCUGAAUAGGUCAGCGGCCAAGCGAAAGCAUUAAGCAUCCCACCUGGGGAGUACGCCGGCAACGGUGAAACUCAAAUGAAUUGACGGAAGGGCG